Molecule: ribosomal RNA, 259 nt
Filed under: uncultured bacterium
Lineage: Bacteria
Description: partial small subunit ribosomal RNA
Rfam family: Bacterial small subunit ribosomal RNA
Source: RNAcentral
AGGACGAACGCUGGCGGCGUGCUUAACACAUGCAAGUCGAGCGGAAAGGCCCUUCGGGGUACUCGAGCGGCGAACGGGUGAGUAACACGUGAGCAACCUGCCCCUGGCUCUGGGAUAGCCUCCGGAAACGGGGAUUAAUACCGGACAUUCUCCUUCUUCCGCAUGGUUGAGGGUGGAAAGUUUUUUCGGCCGGGGAGGGGCUCGCGGCCUAUCAGCUUGUUGGCGGGGUAACGGCCCACCAAGGCGACGACGGGUAGCC